CUCAGCUCCAGAGAAAUCAGGGAUUUUUUUAUAUCAUAUGAUAUUUGUAUAAACAGCUAGAAAUAAUGUUAAUGUUCAUCUCUAUUUUACAAUUAUAGUGGUUAGUAGAACUACUAUUCUCUAAUAUAUUAUUCAAUAUAGGAAGAAAGAAACGCUUCUGUAGCUAUUGCGCACAAAUCUGUCCUUUUUAAUGUUUGAUAACAUUUCUUUUGUAAUCUUACAUAUUUUACUGUGCACAUUAUUCUGAGAAAAGGCUUGUAGGAUUCACCAGACAGCCUGAGCUCCCAGAAAUGCUUAAGGACCCUCGAACAGAGAAACAACCAAGGAUGUAUAGAAAGGGCGACUGUCUUUACAAAACAAACAAAGCAACAACAUCAUCUCAGCGGGAUGUGGGAUUACAGUAUAGAUGAUCAUUUAAAAGAUGAUGUGAUGGAAGAAUAUUUAGGAUACAGUGCAUGAAAACAGAAGGUCAUAUAGUGUACAAUAGCAGCAAAGCUAUGUGCAUACACAGACACACGCAGUGUAAUUGCAUUUUUUGUUUAAUUGAAAGGGAGAGCUAACCUCUAACGCUAACAAUGGUCAUUUCAUUAUUGAUGCUACUGGUUUUCUUAGUGCUUUUUCUGAUUUUUCCACAGCCAGCAGGUAUUGCUUUCAUAAUUAGGAAAAAAGGUUAUCUUAAACAUCUUUAUUUGAAUUGACUAAAAGAUAAAUUAAGCUUUUGGAGAUUAUAUAUUUAAAGGGAAAAAAGUCACACCUCAAAAGAAGGUAGUUGGCAUUCUCUUCAAGGGACUGGGGCAAAGGUUGGUGAUUUUUUUUGUUUUCUUAAAACUGUGGAAGAGUGACCUCAUACUCCCAGAAAGAAAACCAGGAGAUGGACUUCAAACUGCCACGGGUCACGUGGCCCAGCCAGCUGAAUCUCUGAAGUCCCCUCAGAAAUGAGUGACAUGGAAGGCAGGUCUGCUUGGCCCCCUUCCUCAGACCCACAGUUUGCAGAUGGCUGCAUGGGGUCAAGGCCCUGGGGUGCUGGGACUGCUCUCAUCUUGCUUUUUCCACAGUCAUAUCAUGCAUCGGUAAUUAAGUCGAUGACUAAUUCAUUUUGCUCUAACUUUUUUUUUUCCCAAAAAGUCCUUUAUCUGUGAGAUCAAAACCAAACCAGGGCCGAGGAUGUAGCUCAGCAGCACAGCACCUGCCUGGCAAGCAUGAGGUCCUGAGUUCAAUCCCCAUCGGUUCCAAAAACAACAACAACAACAAACCAAACCAACAACAACCACACAGGAGCAGGGAUAACAAAGCUAACAGCUCCUGGAAAGAAAGACAACAAAGGCAAAAGCUAAAAGGCUCAGUAAAGGAUGAAGACGGGACUUCUUCAUCUCCACACUCUGUUCUCAGGCCUUGCAGCCCAGCCUCCUGUCCCACUCCAUGAGUUAGAAGAGUUCCAGUCUUGGCUUCUUUCUUCCCAGAAGGCCUUUGGGUUCCUUGAGCAAAUUACUUCUCCUGAAAGCAUCCCAGGCUUGCCCUGCUGCCAGGUGAAGGGUGAGCACUGCUAUUGUUGGCGAUGCUGACCCUGAAGGCAGAACCCCCAGCCAUCUGCCCUCUCCUGGGCAGCCUCCUCUUUGCAGCUGAUGGGGUGGGCAGGGUACUUGAGACCCUCUUGGGGCUCCCCAAAGCAGUUCUCCUUUCCAGAAAACCAUGCAUGUUUACAUUCAAAUAGGGUUUGUCUGGAUUCUCCAAAGAGUGGGAGGCAGCAAGCGCCUCACCUCUCCUGAACUGCUUCGGGCACCAUCUGGAAAGGGCCCCAGCCUGAUGUUCUUCAGCUGUCAUUUCUGACAGGCACCAUCCUGAAAGCCACACAAGGGAACCCUCUCUGGGUCUCUCUAGCUUCAAUGGGGCUCUCUGCCUUCCACAAUCUCAGACCCUGUCAGGCUCUGGGCUCUGUUAACAGUGGCCUGAAACCACUUCCAUUUGCUGAAACUCACUCCCACAUUUUGUGAGCAUUUAAAGUAUUUGUCAGUCUAGCUCACUAAUUGCAUUUCUGAUAAUUUUAUAAUUCCUGUGUACAUUUGUUACAUCUGCAGCUUUGAGAAGUUGGGGUUGUUUUGCUUUCUUGUUCUUUUCCUCAUUUUAUCUAUUUAAGAGCACUGUGAGGACCUUUUUAGCCAAUGUGUCUGAAAACUUCUUCUAUUACAUUGAUUGUCUUGAAAGCAGCAUUUUAUAUGAGUGCUAUCUCAGCUUCCUGCUGUGAAGGUCAUAAAUCACUAAGGCCUUCUUUCUAAGCCAGAGUUGAAAACGUUUUUUAUAAAGGGUCAAAUAAUAAAUACUUUACGCUUUGUGGGUCAUAUGAGCCAUUUUAGUAGAUGUUAAAGUUUAGAUCUAAAAUGGCCCUAAAAGUUUCAUGUGUUUGGAAGGUGACUGGACUCUGGGGUACAAUUCUCAUCAGUGGACUCAUCCACAUUCAUGGUAGCUGAAUGUACCAUGAGGAGGUGGGGCCUGGUUGAAAGUCAGUCACGGGGUAUGUGUUCUGGAGGGGAGUACUUUUGCUUCCUGCUCCUUUUUCUCUCUGUUUCCUGGCUGCCAUGAGUUGAGCACCCUUUCUUUGCCAUGCCCUGUUGCCAUGCUGUUUUUAUUUUUUUAUUUUUUUGGUACCAGGGAUCGAACUCGGGACUUUGUGCUGGUGAGGUGGGUGGCAGAACCACUGAGCUAAAUCCCUGGCCCUUUGACAUGCUGUUUCUACCUUGGAGUCAGUGGACCAGGGACUGAAAUCAUAAGCCAAAAUAAAUCUUUAAAUUGCAGGCAUUGCAUAUUUUUCGGGAAAGUGACUAAUACAGCAGGAAGGCAGCUUGUGACAUUAUAUAAACGACUGAUAGCUGCUAUGUUCAGAUAAAACUUUGUUGAUAAACACUGAAAUUGUAAUUUCAUAUAAUUUUCAUGUAUCAUGAAAUAUUCAUCUUUUGAAUCUUUAAGAAGCCAUUAAAAAAUGUGAGAGUCAUUUUUAGCUGGGAGGGACAUACAAAGAACAGUUGGCCGUAAUUCACCCACCCCUGCCAUUAAACCACCACUCAAGCACGAUGCUAGCCAGAAUCUAGUUGUGAUUAAUUUUGUUUUCAGUGUGGGUCAGGCGUGCAUCCCUUUGAGAAACACCCCCUUGGAGGAUUCCAGAAACAGAGUCUCCUGCAGCCAGAGCAUUGAGAAUACAGCCCAAGCCCACUGCCAAGAGGGAGGGGGCAAAGAAAGAUUUGAAGCUUGCAUUAGCUGGGAGUAAGCCUGCAAUGGCUUCAGAGAAAAGGCAGAAACAAAGGCCUGAGAGAGUCUUUUCAUACCCUGCAUUAAAGAUAAAAUCUAAUUUAGAUGAAAAUGGAUGCAUAGAAAUUAAAUGUGUGCGUGUGUGGUUUUUGUUGUCAAGCCAUAUAUCCUGUAAUGAUAGCUUUACUAAAUUUAUUCCCUUGCCUUGAAAAUAAAG
This is a long non-coding RNA of Heterocephalus glaber (naked mole-rat), 3457 nucleotides long. NCBI's taxonomy places the organism in Eukaryota, Metazoa, Chordata, Mammalia, Rodentia, Bathyergidae. The record is from Ensembl.